RNAcentral lists this transfer RNA (73 nucleotides) under Monodelphis domestica (gray short-tailed opossum). It matches the Rfam family "tRNA". Rfam says of the family: Transfer RNA (tRNA) molecules are approximately 80 nucleotides in length. Their secondary structure includes four short double-helical elements and three loops (D, anti-codon, and T loops). The record is from Rfam by way of RNAcentral. Lineage: Eukaryota; Metazoa; Chordata; Mammalia; Didelphimorphia; Didelphidae.
AGCCAGGUGGCUCAGUGGUUCAGAGCUCUGGGCCUGGGCUCCAGAAGAUCUGGAUUCAAAUCCAGCCUUGUGC